RNAcentral lists this transfer RNA (141 nucleotides) under Deinococcus arboris. RNAcentral's name for it is "Deinococcus sp. HMF7620 tRNA-OTHER". It matches the Rfam family "tRNA". Rfam says of the family: Transfer RNA (tRNA) molecules are approximately 80 nucleotides in length. Their secondary structure includes four short double-helical elements and three loops (D, anti-codon, and T loops). The record is from RNAcentral. Lineage: Bacteria; Thermotogati; Deinococcota; Deinococci; Deinococcales; Deinococcaceae.
GGGACGGUGGUGGAACUGGUAGACACGAAUGUUUGCUUCCUCUGGGAAGCUUUGCUUUAGCACCCCCUUGCCCGUUUUCCAGGCCGACCGCGAAGGCUUAUAGGGAACAUUGUCCUGCGGGUUCAAAUCCUGCCCGUCCCC